UACGUAGGGGGCGAGCGUUGCCCGGAUUUAUUGGGCGUAAAGGGCGCGUAGGCGGCCACGCACGUCCGUUGUGAAAUCGCCCGGCUCAACUGGGCGGGGUCAGCGGAUACGGUGUGGCUCGAGCAAGCUAGGGGGCAAUGGAAUUCCCGGUGUAGUGGUGGAAUGCGUAGAUAUCGGGAGGAACACCAGUGGCGAAGGCGGUUGCCUGGAGCUUUGCUGACGCUGAGGCGCGAAAGCGUGGGGAGCGAUCCGG
RNAcentral lists this ribosomal RNA (253 nucleotides) under uncultured bacterium. Its description in RNAcentral is "partial 16S ribosomal RNA". It matches the Rfam family "Bacterial small subunit ribosomal RNA", at positions 524 to 776 of the family's 1533-position model. The record is from RNAcentral.